This is a long non-coding RNA of Etheostoma spectabile (orangethroat darter), 2506 nucleotides long. RefSeq lists it as uncharacterized. The transcript has 2 exons. The record is from RefSeq and is a predicted model, not a curated record. Lineage: Eukaryota; Metazoa; Chordata; Actinopteri; Perciformes; Percidae.
CAGCAACUAACCAUGAAAUAUGUGCAAUACAGCACAUCUUUAUGACAUAUCUCUCUGAAUUUGAUUCUAAUCAUUCUAAAUAAUAUAGCGCUCCUUUGGAUUUCUCAGUGAACCUGCUCACAACAGGUGGGCCAUACAACCCAUGUUGCUGAUCAAUAUUAAACAUUGUCAGGGACUAAAUCUGAUGAAAUGUAUUUAAGGUCCAGGCCAUGCAAAACCAAAUUGAGUCCCUCCUGGAGCAUUGUGUUUUCGAUGUCUUUCCAUUCACAGGGCAGGCGUGGUGGUGUUUAAGGAUCCAAGGUGCAGACGGUGUGAUGGAGGAACAUGCAGGAAUCAUUCCAGCUCCCACACACAGUAAACACCACCUCUACAUCCAUGAGAAGACACUCCUUACCAAAUCUACCAGGUGAUUUGUCCCCGACCCAUGUGCUCUCUCUCUCUGGGAAUGCUACAAUUCUCUUUAUUUUGGCAGAUUUCUAAUAGUGAAUGAGUGAAAACUUUCUCUAGACAUUUGUAAGCUAUUACUGUCUGCUGCUACAACCAAAUGAUUUCCCCAUGUUGAGCAGUUUACCGUAAUAUAUUCAAUAAAGUAAUGGCACAAUUGCACAAUAUUCUGGAUUGUAAAAGUGAAAUCAAAAUGAGACGAUUUUUUGAAAUUAAAUGAUUUCUGAUUACGGGCAUGAUUUUUAUUGGUAAAGCUACAUGGCAAAUGAAUCUCUAGUCCCAGUCUUGGUGAGUUCGCACAGCCCUGUGUUGUCAGCAGUCAUAACCAAAUGUAAUUGCUGUUGAAAAAUAGAACUGCUACAAGGGAUGUUCUUGCUAAUUUGCAUUUGGAUGUUUUUACUUCAGCACUGCUGGUCUCAGCAGAAAAAAAGAGUGGUCAUGCUGUGCAUGAGGGCCAGUGAGAUCUCACAGUUUGGAUAAGAUUAGCAAGCAGCAUCAUUAUAUGCAUCAGCAUCAACUGUUGGCACUUGGUUUACAAAAACAACGAAUGAGCUUAUUCCCUUAUGUCGAAAAGCACGCGGAGGUAAUUCUGCUGGUAGCAGGAGGUCUGGAAAGUUCACAGACCUUAGAAAACUAAAGAUUGUUAUGAACAAAUGUUCCUGGUCAAGUUAAUGAUAACUUAGAAAACUGCUGUCACAAAACACAGCCAAGGGCUAAACUGUUACCAUGGAGCCCACCAUCUUUCAGCAGAGUAAAUGUGAACAGAGCUUGCUAUCAUUCAACUUAGCAUAGUGUAUGCUAAGCUGCUAGCAUUAGCAUUAGUGUAUGCUGAUAGCUGAUGCUAUAUGCCAGAGGUGAGAUGUUACCAGUUUAAAUACCCAACUGUUCUUGCUAAUGCUAAUGUUUAGUAGGGGUGGAAUGUAAAUAAGUAAUUUAAUCAAGGACUGUACUUAUUGUUAUACGUACUAUUUUUGUACAAAUUUGAGGUACUUGUACUUUACUUGAGGCUUUUCUUUUCAUGCCACUUUCCACUUCUACUGUACUUUUUACUCCACUACAUUCAUCUGAAAGCUUUAGUUACUAGUUAUUUUACAAAAUAGGGAUUUUGCAAACAAUACACAUGUAGUUUAUAAAAUAUAAUGCUUUAUUAUAAAUUAAACUACCCAACAAUGUAUAGGCCACAAGAACAGCUGAAAUGAUUAGCCCAUUAAACAGUUGACUGACAGAACAGUUUUGACUGUUAACAGUUUCUAAAAGGUGAGGAUUUUUCUUCAUUGAGUAUUUUUUACUUUUAAUACUUUAGGAAAAUUUUCCUGAUAAUACUUACUUACUUUAACUUCAGUAACAUUUUCAAUGCAGGAUGCUUACUUGUAACAGAGUAUUUUUACAUUGUGGUGUUAGUACUUCCAAUUCCAUCACUGAUGUUCGAUUGUGAUCCCUUACAUUCAGGAACAUCAGUGUGACUAUCACACCUUGCUUUGACUCAGUUUUGGUUGUAUUCAAUUAGCCCUAAGAUGAUUUAUUAGUGUUCAGUUUGCUGCCACGUUUCUCUCGUUAAAAGAUCACAGGUAGGGACUCCAUAGGUUCCGCCGCACAUGACCAUGGAAACCUUCAAGUUUGCUCCAUUAACAUUUCAGGGAGCUGAUUCUCUUAUCCAGAGUGACUUGAAUCAGUAGUAGGGGUUUUACUGUUAUGCUCAAUGACUACAACAGGACAAGUCUUUCUGAGUUAUUGCUAGAAUACACUGUUGAAUGUGUAGGGUUCAGUAUUUUAGAAUCUUUUUAGAACUGCGCCCUGGUUUUCCUCCAUGCAAUGCCAUCCCAAUGUCUGCUUGUUAGAAACAUACACAUUCAUGAUAAACUGACAUGUGUGUUGGUUUUCCGAUUUUUAGUGUGUGGUGAAAUACAUUGUUAUUUAACACAUUUCCUUUAUCACAUUUAAAAAAAAAUUGAUCAAGUAGAAUAUUUCCUCCACACUUAAAAUGUGUAAUAUUGUGAAUAUUAAAUAUUGUUAAAUGUUUGUUAAAGCAUGCUGGAAUUAAAUAAAAAGUUUCAUGUAAAAA